RNAcentral lists this ribosomal RNA (425 nucleotides) under uncultured bacterium. Its description in RNAcentral is "bacterial SSU rRNA". It matches the Rfam family "Bacterial small subunit ribosomal RNA", at positions 356 to 773 of the family's 1533-position model. The record is from RNAcentral.
CGGGAAUCUUCCGCAAUGGGCGAAAGCCUGACGGAGCAACGCCGCGUGAGCGAAGAAGGCCUUCGGGUCGUAAAGCUCUGUUGUCAGGGAAGAACAAGUACCGGAGUAACUGCCGGUACCUUGACGGUACCUGACCAGAAAGCCCCGGCUAACUACGUGCCAGCAGCCGCGGUAAUACGUAGGGGGCGAGCGUUGUCCGGAAUCAUUGGGCGUAAAGCGCGCGCAGGCGGUCCCUUAAGUCUGAUGUGAAAUCUUGCGGCUCAACCGCAAGAGGUCAUUGGAAACUGGGGGACUUGAGUGCAGGAGAGGGAAGCGGAAUUCCAUGUGUAGCGGUGAAAUGCGUAGAGAUAUGGAGGAACACCAGUGGCGAAGGCGGCUUCCUGGCCUGUAACUGACGCUCAGGCGCGAAAGCGUGGGGAGCAAAC